GCAACUUGCCAGGCAAUGGUACCGGGGCGCCUUCCGGGUACUGGAGCUUCGGGGGUUGCAGGUGGGGCCGGCGGAACAGUAGAGACAAGACCACAAAGCCGGCGCAGUGCAUUAAAUGCACCGACAAGUCUAGAGCAGUUACACUAAGAACUGUUUUGUUUACAAUGUACAGUGGCCUGGGCGCUGCAUAAAACCCAAUGUAGAGUAGGUUUUGUGGCGAUGACACGCGUGUAGAUAACGUGUCACGUUUCAUGCAUCGGCACCUGUGGUAUUGUAACAUCCCAAUUUUCCCCAAACUUUGCAUCACGCAUUUGCACUCAUAAGCAUCAUGCCAUUUAUGCACCAAGAAUUCAAAAUUUAAAAUCCUUUUUAUUAAGCUUUUGCCCUUUAAUCUUCUUUGCUACAUUUUUGAUAAUUCUCAACCAAUGGGGUUUUGUCAAUAGAAAGGGGUUUAAUGCAAUAAGAUAAGCUACCCCAUAAUUUUUGGAACUUAUUUUGGAGUUGAAAAACUAUUUUAUUUUUAAAUAUUAUUGUACUAGAGGCAACUAUUUAAGCAAAACUAUUCCUCUUUUGGAAGGAAUCAAGUCCCAGAUGCUUUAGCAUUGAGCGAUAUGAUUUUACAAAUUUUCUGGAAUUUAUUUGGGGUCAUUUGGAGUUCAAAAUCAAAAGAUAGAAGGGAAAAACAGAAGAAGAAAAAGAGAAAGAAAAAGAACAAAAAAAAACCGGACCGGCCCGGCCGAACCGGCCCAGUCACGCUCGUGAAGCCCAACCCAUGAAACCAGCCCAGCAACGCGGCAGCCGCCACCCGCGCGCCCGCAGUCACUGACAGGUGGGGCCCACCUGUCAGUCGUCUUCAAGCUUCGUCCGGGAAUCUAGCUAAGACCGUCUUCAUUGCUCGUCUUCAAUCCGAGAUUUAGAGCACCCCAUUAACCACCCCUCUCGCGUCACUAUAAAGAGCCCCUCGCCCUCUCUCAUUUCCCCCGCACCCCCUCGC
This 994-nucleotide long non-coding RNA is filed under the name Brachypodium distachyon (stiff brome). Its description in RNAcentral is "long non-coding RNA (BDIS_LNC005509)". Lineage: Eukaryota; Viridiplantae; Streptophyta; Magnoliopsida; Poales; Poaceae. The record is from RNAcentral.